AACAAGUGUCGCCAAAAACAUGGCGGAUUUUCAAGGAAUUUCACGUUUGCUGACGCCAGAAUGACGCCACUGGUCCUAAAUCCUCGUGGUAAUUACCACUGAGCAAGGCUCAUUUUGAGCCCGCCACCACUUUGACAUCCCCCUGAUUUUCGCAAAAAUAUUUUAGCUUUUUGUUUUGGAGUUUGCCUUGGUGUUCGCCUUCUCUUCGACAUUUUAACAUUUGUUUCGAGUUGCACAAGUGGCAAGAAUCAUACUGGCUAGUGAAAGACAGGGAACGAAUAUUCAAACCUCACGGAAAUUUUGGAAAAACGUUAUUUGUAAGUAUAACAGUAAAAAUAUACUGUUUAUAUGUUCAAUAUUUUUUGUGCUAGAGUAGCUAGCCGCUAGGUCAAAACAAAGCGAAAUAAACAGUCUAUUUGUACUGUGUAGUGGACAAUUUUAGCAACUGGUGUAUGCAAUUAGGUUGCCCAAACUAUAUUAAUACGAGAAACAGUCUUCCUCGAAAGAAAAUGGUUGAAAUUUCAGAUUUUAGUUUCAUUUGUUAUUUCAAAUAAUUUUUACGAUAUAUAAAAUGCCAGUUGACCACCAUCUGCUUCAUGAUACUACUUAGUAAAAUUAAAGUGCUUUCUAUUUAUAUUAGUAUAGCUAUAGAGGAAGACCUUUUUAUUAAAGCCAGAACUAUCAUGGCUUUGAAUGUUUUCAAUCCAUGUACUAAUAAUACUGGCCACUGAUGGCACAUGGCAAAGAAAUUAUGUGUAGAAUUAUCAAGUCUAUCAAGAUCCAAAAGUUGGCAGUUCAAUUCUACCAACUUCUGUUGAAGCUAGUUUCAUUUUCUCUAGAAAUUGCAUGAAUAAAAUCAAUAUAUUUCAUAAUUAACCCAUUGAGCCGCAAUGCGUCCUACUUAUUCUUUUUUACUUGUCUAAAGCCAGACAAUUUUACUUGUCAAUGGGGAAGCUCUGCAGCUCAUUGGGUUAACCAAAAAAAUCUGACUGUAAUCUCUAGUUAACCCAUUGAGCCGCAAUGUGCCCAACUUACUUUUUUUACUUGUUUAAAGCCAGACAAUAUUACUCGUCAAUUGGGAAGCACUGCAACUUAAUGGGUUAAGAAAAUGAAACAUUCUUGAGUGAUAUUUGACUGUUGGUAAUUCAUGCAUUUUUGGAGGAAAAUAUUUUACACAGGGGUUAUUCGCCUGACACCGAACCCAAAUAUUUACAUGCUAUUUGUCUGAACUAUUUUCCUCAUUCUUUGAACAUGCUAAAAUGAUACAAAAUAAAUUUCAGUUGAAUUCAAGCAUGUCCUCGGGCCCAAGUUGUCAAGACUAUCACCUUAAUUGUUGGUAGCAUAUAUCUGCUUAAGCCCUGGGUUCAAAUGAGUGGAAUUUCAAGAGCAUUCUGACUGGCUUUGUGCAAACAGGUGGCCUUACCGGUUAGGAUGAGGGCCAGUUAAGGUUAUGGUUGGGUGCAGGCAAGGUUCAUGUAAACUUAUUGUUAGCAAGAGUGUUAUGUGUACAUAAUCAUGUGUCAUGUGUUGGAUUAAUGGCAUUUAAACACUGGGAUCCAGUGUCAAACAAUAACCACAACAAUUAUUAUAUAAAGUACUUGGUUGUUUUAGUGUAAUAUUAAUUUCUCACAUAAAUUUUUUUUCAGAAAUAAAGCACCAUUGAGCAACUUGUUGGGAAAGAGGAGUCACAAACUGUUGAUGACUAUAUUUAAUUAACUACAUCCACAUAAAAUGCAAUUUUAUUAACAGUAUAUUGAUUUAUGGGUUAUUAGAUUACAUUAUUUUCAUAUUAAUUAAAAAUAAAAUUAAAAAAUUAAAUGACAAAAUCAGUGUGAAAAUAUUGCAAUAAUCAAUUAAAAUGUCAAACCAGCCAAUUGUUUCAAUUAUGCAUUUGUGAGUGUAACCUAACCCCCCCCCCCCUUGAGAGAACCCUAUUAUCCCUUUUGAUAAGUGGCGAUGCACCAUAUAAUUUUCCUGUCAAAUGCCAGACAAAUAUACUUGUC
Paramuricea clavata is the source of this 2003-nucleotide non-coding RNA. The record is from the annotation of a GenBank genome assembly. Lineage: Eukaryota; Metazoa; Cnidaria; Anthozoa; Malacalcyonacea; Plexauridae.